GGAAAAUCAGCAGGGGUAAAAGACCAAGGCUUUUCAUCUCUCGAAACAAGACACUUUUAAUGAAACUUCUGUCCUUCCACUGAAAGUCCAUGCUUAACCAUACUUGUGUGACGCAAGAACAAACCUCAUUGGUUCUCGUGGAUAAAUCAGGUUGUAGUCGUCUAUCAUGUCAUCUGCAACGGAGGUGUAAAUUUCUUGUGAUUGUCAUCGUAGCGGUGCUAACAACAGGUGAAGCUGCCAUCAACUACUAUAUUAGUCGAGAUAUCAACAACUAUAUUAGCCGAGUUAGCCACCAACUGCUGCUCUUCACUAACCCACAGAACGGGACGAGCAAUAUAUUAAUGUAGCUGGAUUGGUUAUCAAAUAUUAUUUAUGUUUUUUUUUAUGAUCUGUUGUAUGGUAUUUUUUUUUCUGACCAUAAACCAUAAAAGCCUGUAAAUGUCUGUUACAGGAUAUUUCUCCAAGUAAAAACAGAUAUGCUGAUUAUGAGGGCUCACCCAUAUUUUGGGUUACCUAAUUCUGCAUUACAUUUAAAUUCAUGCAUUUGCCAGAUGGUUUAAUCCAAAGCAGCUUGUGCAGAAUAAGUUUGAGGUCUGGAUUAUGUCAUCUGCAGUACAUUCCAGUCUGAGCCUUUACUUGUGAUUGCCAUCAUAACCGCGAUAACAUGAACUGGUAAAUUAGACAAUGUAAACUAGUUAAAAGAGAUAUGCAUUUUUUAUUUUAAUCCAUUCCCUGGGAAUCAACUCCAUUAUUUCAUCAAUGUAACACUUUGCUCUACUGUUUGAUCUACAUGAAUGCAUUGUAAGGAAUGGAGCUUUAAUUAUU
Molecule: long non-coding RNA, 825 nt
Organism: Carassius gibelio (silver crucian carp)
Lineage: Eukaryota; Metazoa; Chordata; Actinopteri; Cypriniformes; Cyprinidae
Exons: 3
Source: RefSeq, a predicted model, not a curated record